GCCCCUGCUCUUGCCUUUGCUUGCCUCUGUCAUCUCUGCAUUCAGAGUCCAGUGUUCCUGCAUCUGCUCCUGUUCCUGCCUUAGUCCCUGCUUGCUUCUGCUGGUCUCCUGCAUCUCAGUGCCUUGUUCUGGCUCCUUGUUCCCAAUCCUGCGACCUGGCUCCCAGCCCCAUCCUCCCACCUCCGCUUGGCCACAGCCAGCUGCACCGUGAGUGUCUUUGGACUCGAUACCCUGCGUGGCGAACUGGGUCCUGAUGCUCUUAUUCCUGAUUCUGUAGAAUGGAGCCAGAACGUGGAGAACUGAUUUUACCGCAGAUGCACCCGCACUUCUUUUUCACCAAACGUCUGCCUCAGUUUUGCUGUGUGGGAACAUAACCCAAAUUCUACCAAGAUCUGGUUGUAUCUCUAGAAAAUUCAUUAUCCAACCCAACCCUAUUCUCCCCUCGGAUGCCGGCUGGCGGUGCAAGCAGGUCGCCCUCCCAAGACACGCCUCGCCUCGAGGUGCGAAGAGGGCCGCGUCAGACGAGACGGGCAGCAACUGGCGUUGACUCGGGGCCCGCGAGGGCGGAGUUUCCAGGAGGUGCGUUUUUGAAGAGCCGGGGGCGCGGCUUUAACCAUUUCAAGCCCGGCCUCAGGAGAGCGACUCGGCCGGGAGCGGCAGUGGAUGGGUGUGUUGCUGCCGUCAUCUAAAUAAUGCAAGAUUUCUGAACUGAAUCGCUUCAUCAACAACAAAAAUAUGAAAACCAUCAACAUUCUGAGGUGAAGCUGCCACUCCAAAUGAAUCUUAGCAUUUGGGGGGGAAGACCGAUUGACAUAGUAUUAUUCAACUGUGAUUGAUAUCUUUUGAAAAGCGGGUUAAAAAUAGGUGCCAUACCUCUCUCUACAUAAGACUGACUGCUGAUUAAGUGACAGACUUGCCAAAGGUAGUAAAUAUUGCACAUGCCUGAAUGUCUCGUAAGUUAGCUCUCGGACGACAAGGAUGUUGGUUGAGCAUGCCAGGAGGGCAAGCGAACAAACUACAGUAGAGGGCAACCAGGAUCCUGCCCAGCUGGACUCUGCCAGCCUAUGCGUGUAUUCAUAUGGCUCUUCUUUGGCUCGGUGACUCUGAGCAUCUGUCAGUUAUACAGCUUUAGGUACACUGAGAGGUAGAACAAAAACUCCGAAGACAAUAGGCAAUUCCCAGUCCCGCUGAACGCAAAGGAGACAGUCAAACCCCAAGUUCUGUUGCCAUCGAGAGAAGUGAUCAGGACCAAGACAUAACAUGAUGGAGCAUCAUUGAUCAAAACGGAGCUCGAAGAUUAAAUUUAGUUCUCAGUGCAGUCUAGAAUUGUUGAAGUGAGCCACGAUGUUCAGCUAUUUUACCAUUUACUGUAAUGCUGACUGAUUGAUAUCUCCCGGCGUUCAUUCACCUCUUUCUUCCUCUCUGCCACCCAAAAAUAAGUCUUGUCAUAUUU
This is a non-coding RNA of Pogona vitticeps (central bearded dragon), 1453 nucleotides long. The record is from RefSeq and is a predicted model, not a curated record. Lineage: Eukaryota; Metazoa; Chordata; Lepidosauria; Squamata; Agamidae.